UUAAGCAUAUCAAUAAGCGGAGGAAAAGAAACCAACAGGGAUUGCCUCAGUAACGGCGAGUGAAGCGGCAACAGCUCAAAUUUGAAAUCUGGCCCUUGGGUCCGAAUUGUAAUUUGUAGAGGAUGUUUUUGGUGCGGUAUCUUCCGAGUUCCUUGGAACAGGACGCCUUAGAGGGUGAGAGCCCCGUACGGUUGAAUACCUAGCCUCUGUAAAACUCCUUCGACGAGUCGAGUAGUUUGGGAAUGCUGCUCUAAAUGGGAGGUAAAUUUCUUCUAAAGCUAAAUACUGGCCAGAGACCGAUAGCGCACAAGUAGAGUGAUCGAAAGAUGAAAAGCACUUUGAAAAGAGGGUUAAAUAGCACGUGAAAUUGUUGAAAGGGAAGGAUUUAUGACCAGACUUUUUCUGGGCGGAUCAUCCGGUGUUCUCACCGGUGCACUUCGUUCAGUUUAGGCCAGCAUCGAUUUUCGGUGGGGGAUAAAAGCUUUAGGAAUGUGGCUCCUCCGGGAGUGUUAUAGCCUAUUGUAUAAUACCCUGCUGGGGAUCGAGGUACGCGCUUCUGCAAGGAUGCUGGCGUAAUGGUUAUCAAUCACCCGUCUUGAAACACGGACCAAGGAGUCGAACAUUUGUGCAAGUGUUUGGGUGUUAAACCCUCACGCGUAAUGAAAGUGAACGGAGGUGAGAGCCCUUACGGGUGCAUCAUCGACCGAUCCUGAUGUUUUCGGAUGGAUUUGAGUAAGAGCAUAACUGUUCGGACCCGAAAGAUGGUGAACUAUGCGUGGAUAGGGUGAAGCCAGAGGAAACUCUGGUGGAGGCUCGCAGCGGUUCUGACGUGCAAAUCGAUCGUCAAAUCUGCGCAUGGGGGCGAAAGACUAAUCGAACC
Molecule: ribosomal RNA, 880 nt
Filed under: Discosia italica
Lineage: Eukaryota; Fungi; Ascomycota; Sordariomycetes; Amphisphaeriales; Sporocadaceae
Description: eukaryotic LSU rRNA
Rfam family: Eukaryotic large subunit ribosomal RNA
Source: RNAcentral